CCGUUCGCCUGCAAAACCGACAAUUUGCUCUCCGAAGGGCGCUAUUAUAUCUUCUGAUAGUCCNAUCUUUUGGAAGGUGGUCCAAUAUAGAAUAUUGACGGAGCUGCCUUGAUCGAUCAGAACUUUACUCACAUCGUAUUCGGCUAUACGGGCGGUUAUCACCAUUGGAUCAUCUUGGUCGGGAUCUGGAGCAUGAAAAUCUUCGUCCGUGAAGGUGAUNUCCGGCAUCGAUAGAGGGUUGCGGACGAUGUUGUGAACGCUUCGUAAACUUCUUUCGUGUCUUUUGCGAGCUGAGGAUGAGGCUCCUCCUCCCGCAAAUCCUCCUGAUAUAGUGUCAAUCCGUCCCCGCGGAGUGGGGUCGCGCUUCGGAGGUCUACUGCGAGAGCGUUCACGGUGCUGAUCCCGGGAACGUUCGGUAUUUCUUCUAGUACGCUCGGGACUUC
Molecule: long non-coding RNA, 443 nt
Filed under: Vigna radiata
Lineage: Eukaryota; Viridiplantae; Streptophyta; Magnoliopsida; Fabales; Fabaceae
Description: long non-coding RNA (VRAD_LNC015092)
Source: RNAcentral